This 561-nucleotide long non-coding RNA is filed under the name Equus caballus (horse). Its description in RNAcentral is "lncRNA (ENSECAG00000035794.2)". The record is from RNAcentral. Lineage: Eukaryota; Metazoa; Chordata; Mammalia; Perissodactyla; Equidae.
GUCUGAGUUGUUGUCACAGCCUGCUGGGCACAGCCAGCAGGCAGCCGCCACAGAGACCUGUUCAAUCAUAUCUACCUGGCUGUCCACCAGCGCCCUCGGAACUGGCAGUUCCCAAGAGGACGGUCAGGGCCAGACCCAUCCCCCAGAUGAUCCCAGCUUCCUGCAGGCCCAACCCACUAUGUGGACAGCAAAGCAGCCCCCUGCAAAGCUCCUCAUGUGCAUGGACUCCGUAAAUCUUCAUGACUUCCAAGGGAGAGAUGGCAUUGUUCCCUCAUUUUUUGAUGAGGAAACCAAGACUUUAGGGAAAGCAGUUCAAAAACAUAUCACCAGACAAUUCACGGCAGAGGAAAUCAAAAUUGCCUAUCAAGCUUAGGCCAAGUUGCCCAACCUCACAAACUGUCAAGGAAACGCGACUUCAUUGGUCAUGAAAUACCAUUUUUCAUCCAUCAGAGGAGCAGAUGACAAAAAGGGCAAUGACUUCCAAUGCCAGCCUGAAUAUGGAAAACCUGGAGCUCACGUGCCUUGUGAAGGAGCAUGAAUUGCUGCAAAUUUUAUGGGCAU